Long non-coding RNA from Rhincodon typus (whale shark), 211 nucleotides. RefSeq lists it as uncharacterized. The transcript has 3 exons. The record is from RefSeq and is a predicted model, not a curated record. NCBI's taxonomy places the organism in Eukaryota, Metazoa, Chordata, Chondrichthyes, Orectolobiformes, Rhincodontidae.
AGACUAUUAUGGACCAAUUCAACCCCAGCUUGAAAAACUUCAUCGCAAUGGGAAAGUCUUAUGAAAAGGCACUUAGCAGCCACAUGGGUGCAGAGAAAAUUUGGAUCAAGAAAGCCAGAACAGGUAUGACCUUUGCUGCAAAAGGCUAUUUUGAGGCCCUAGUGAAGAUGGGUGAACUUGCCAGCGACAGUCAUGCUUCCAAGGAGAUGGG